AAAUGAAUACUUUCACAUUUCACCGGGCACUGUUGGACUUCAUGGCGAAGGGAGAAGUGUCUGCUGGGGUUGAAAAAAAAGAAAUGAAGAUUGGCAAGCAGCAAUUAUCUUGUCAGAGGGGACCGGGUUGUCAUGGGUACGUGAGACUCGAGAGAGGAGAGGAGAUUAUCCACGGAGAGACAUUUUUGAUCGUUGGAGAUGCUAUCUGCCCGGUCAACAUUGGAGCCUCGGCUAGCCUGCUAGCGCCUGGUAGCGCUGGUUACUGCUGAGGACCUUCAGGCUGAGAGGACCAGCUCCGUGUCAGAAAACCAUUCUGGUGGCGUGAAUGGUAUUGGGGUCGAGACUCCGGUGUGACAUCGGGUGACGGUUGAGUUUGUGGAUACGUGAAUGUGGAUAAACGGCGAUCUGCGAGUAAACAUUUCUGUUCAA
Long non-coding RNA from Engraulis encrasicolus (European anchovy), 429 nucleotides. RefSeq lists it as uncharacterized. Lineage: Eukaryota; Metazoa; Chordata; Actinopteri; Clupeiformes; Engraulidae. The record is from RefSeq and is a predicted model, not a curated record. The transcript is spliced from 3 exons.